RNAcentral lists this ribosomal RNA (429 nucleotides) under uncultured bacterium. Its description in RNAcentral is "bacterial SSU rRNA". It matches the Rfam family "Bacterial small subunit ribosomal RNA", at positions 355 to 776 of the family's 1533-position model. The record is from RNAcentral.
UGGGGAAUAUUGCACAAUGGGCGCAAGCUUGAUGCAGCGACGCCGCGUGGAGGAUGAAGGUUUUCGGAUUGUAAACUCCUGUUAAGUGGGAAGAAAUGGUGUACUUUAAUACAGUACGCAGCUGACAGUACCACUAGAGAAAGCACCGGCAAACUUCGUGCCAGCAGCCGCGGUAAUACGAAGGGUGCAAGCGUUAUUCGGAGUUACUGGGCGUAAAGAGCGUCGAGACGGUCUGCUAAGUUACCCGUUAAAUAUCCUGGCUUAACCAGGAAACUGCGGGUGAUACUGGUGGACUAGAGUGUAAGAGAGAGAAGUGGAAUUCUCGGAGUAGCGGUAAAAUGCGUAGAUCUCGAGAGGAACACCGGAGGCGAAGGCGGCUUCUUGGCUUACUACUGACGUUGGCGCGCGAAAGCGUGGGGAGCAAACAGG